RNAcentral lists this small RNA (445 nucleotides) under Pan troglodytes (chimpanzee). Its description in RNAcentral is "processed transcript". The record is from RNAcentral. Lineage: Eukaryota; Metazoa; Chordata; Mammalia; Primates; Hominidae.
CGUGGCCCCUCGGGGUCACCCAGGAAGACAAGCAACUUUCUCCCAUACUUCUCGGUCUGUCUGCCUUCCCCACUCAGCUUUGAAUGAGACGCAGGGAGAGGGGGCGCGAGGGGCCUCGGGGCUAGGGGAGGAGCCGCGAAAGCUGCCCCCGGAGGUGGGCCUGGACCCGCGCGGACAGCGGGGCACCCCCCACUCCCUUCCCGGCGCUCCAGGAACGUCGGGCCCCGGGGUUCUGCGGCUGUUAGGGACAGAGGCAAAGAAGGGCAGGACGGUCUGGUUUCCCGUGGAUGUUCCCGCCCGAGAAAGACAGCAAGUUGUGUGUGCGCCCGGGACGCGGGAGGGAAGGUAGCCGCCGCCCGCCAGCCAUGGACCAUCAUCUUUAGUGCAGAGGAUGGAAAGUUGAUCUUCAGUAAGACUGAAGAUCCAUUCGGCAUUACGGAACUGU